UACGUAGGGUGCGAGCGUUGUCCGGAAUUACUGGGCGUAAAGAGCUCGUAGGUGGUUUGUCGCGUUGUUCGUGAAAACUCACAGCUUAACUGUGGGCGUGCGGGCGAUACGGGCAGACUGGAGUACUGCAGGGGAGACUGGAAUUCCUGGUGUAGCGGUGGAAUGCGCAGAUAUCAGGAGGAACACCGGUGGCGAAGGCGGGUCUCUGGGCAGUAACUGACGCUGAGGAGCGAAAGCGUGGGGAGCGAACAGG
This 253-nucleotide ribosomal RNA is filed under the name Mycolicibacterium moriokaense. RNAcentral's name for it is "partial 16S ribosomal RNA". It matches the Rfam family "Bacterial small subunit ribosomal RNA", at positions 524 to 776 of the family's 1533-position model. Lineage: Bacteria; Bacillati; Actinomycetota; Actinomycetes; Mycobacteriales; Mycobacteriaceae. The record is from RNAcentral. RNAcentral also lists the same sequence under 3 other names.